AAAACGACUCUCGACAACGGAUAUCUCGGCUCUCGCAUCGAUGAAGAACGUAGCGAAAUGCGAUACUUGGUGUGAAUUGCAGAAUCCCGUGAACCAUCGAGUCUUUGAACGCAAGUUGCGCCCGAAGCCUUCUGGCCGAGGGCACGUCUGCCUGGGUGUCACAC
RNAcentral lists this ribosomal RNA (164 nucleotides) under Phyllanthus trachygyne. RNAcentral describes it as "5.8S ribosomal RNA". It matches the Rfam family "5.8S ribosomal RNA". From Rfam's summary of the family: 5.8S ribosomal RNA (5.8S rRNA) is a component of the large subunit of the eukaryotic ribosome. It is transcribed by RNA polymerase I as part of the 45S precursor that also contains 18S and 28S rRNA. Functionally, it is thought that 5.8S rRNA may be involved in ribosome translocation. Lineage: Eukaryota; Viridiplantae; Streptophyta; Magnoliopsida; Malpighiales; Phyllanthaceae. The record is from RNAcentral.